Daphnia pulicaria is the source of this 555-nucleotide long non-coding RNA. RefSeq lists it as uncharacterized. Lineage: Eukaryota; Metazoa; Arthropoda; Branchiopoda; Diplostraca; Daphniidae. The transcript has 3 exons. The record is from RefSeq and is a predicted model, not a curated record.
CUGUUUAGCCACACUCGCAGUCUGUGAUGGCGUAGUCACGGAUGUCAAAAAAUCUAAAUACUUCAUACUCAAUUGCUUGACAUUUCACGGCUUCUUCAACCAAAAGUUUGCUCUAUUAUUCCAUAGAGUUUGUCAUUUCAUUGUCAUAAUAUCUCCAUCUCAUUAUGUCUCGAGACAUCAUUUUUGAGGACUGUCUAACAUGUGGAUGUUCAGUAGAAUUGUCCCUAUUGGAAAACCAUGUGUCCAAUUGCAUAAUUCUAAAUGAGCGGUCUGUUUCUGAAGUCCAAAGGAGAAAGAAAUUAGAUGUGGAUGUAAAGAAAGUGAAACAAUAUCUAGAUGAGAGAAUUCCUACUAAGGAAAUUUGUCGUUUGCUUGGAAUCUCAAGAAGGACUCUAUUUUGAGUCUUAAAAGAAAUCAACAUUACAGCUAGACCAAAAUACACUAAUAUUGGAACAAAGAACUUGGAAUCAUAUCUUACCAACACAAUCUUCAAAAGAAACCCCAAAUUGGUAAUUAUUGAGAUGAAUAGUGUAUUAAAUUACAUCGUGAAACAAU